Pelobates cultripes (western spadefoot toad) is the source of this 315-nucleotide non-coding RNA. The record is from the annotation of a GenBank genome assembly. Lineage: Eukaryota; Metazoa; Chordata; Amphibia; Anura; Pelobatidae.
CUUUGAACCCACAAUGUAUUGUAGACCAAUUUGCGAAAUAUUACAGUGAAUUGUAUAACCUUAAAACUGACCCCAACAUGUUCUUACCUACACAUGACGACAUUGACGGGUUCUUGACGGGACUUGACCUACCAAAAUUAACAAACGAUGACCUAGACCUGCUACAACAACCAUUCUCCAUAGACGAGAUCACGGCUGUAAUAUCGAAACUACCAGCCCACAAAUCCCCUGGCCCCGAUGGCUUUACUAACGCAUACUACCAGAAAUUCUCACACAUCCUCACGCCACAGUUACUAAACCUCCUCAAUACCUGCG